GACGAACGCUGGCGGCGUGCUUAACACAUGCCAGUCGAACGGAAAGGCCGGGCUUUUGUGGGGUGCUCGGGGGGCGAACGGGUGAGUAACACGUGAGUUACCUGCCCUUGACUUUGGGAUAACUUCAGGAAACUGGGGCUAAUACCGGAUAGGAGCUACUGCUGCAUGGUGGGGGUUGGAAAGUUUCGGCGGUUGGUGAUGGACUCGCGGCUUAUCAGCUUGUUGGUGGGGUAGUGGCUGACCAAGGCUUUGACGGGUAGCCGGCCUGAAAGGGUGACCGGACAAGUUAGGAAUGAAAUACGCCGCAGACGCCUACGGGAGGAAAGAGUGGAGAAUAUUACACAAUACGAGGAAGCCUGGUCUAGCCAAGAAGCGUGCGGGAAGACGGCCUUGGGGUUGUAUAGCGAUUUCGCUUGUGACGAAGCGUGAGUGACGGUAAUGGGUAAAGAAGCACCGGCUAACUACGUG
RNAcentral lists this ribosomal RNA (468 nucleotides) under uncultured bacterium. Its description in RNAcentral is "partial 16S ribosomal RNA". It matches the Rfam family "Bacterial small subunit ribosomal RNA", at positions 28 to 507 of the family's 1533-position model. The record is from RNAcentral.